GAUGAACGCUGGCGGCGUGCCUAAUACAUGCAAGUCGAGCGAACGGACGAGAAGCUUGCUUCUCUGAUGUUAGCGGCGGACGGGUGAGUAACACGUGGAUAACCUACCUAUAAGACUGGGAUAACUUCGGGAAACCGUAGCUAAUACCGGAUAAUAUUUUGAACCGCAUGGUUCAAAAGUGAAAGACGGUCUUGCUGUCACUUAUAGAUGGAUCCGCGCUGCAUUAGCUAGUUGGUAAGGUAACGGCUUACCAAGGCAACGAUGCAUAGCCGACCUGAGAGGGUGAUCGGCCACACUGGAACUGAGACACGGUCCAGACUCCUACGGGAGGCAGCAGUAGGGAAUUUUCCGCAAUGGGCGAAAGCCUGGCGGAGCAACGCCGCGUGAGUGAUGAAGGUCUUCGGAUCGUAAAACUCUGUUAUUAGGGAAGAACAUAUGUGUAAGUAACUGUGCACAUCUUGACGGUACCUAAUCAGAAAGCCACGGCUAACUACGUG
Molecule: ribosomal RNA, 497 nt
Filed under: uncultured bacterium
Lineage: Bacteria
Description: partial 16S ribosomal RNA
Rfam family: Bacterial small subunit ribosomal RNA
Source: RNAcentral